Molecule: small RNA, 71 nt
Filed under: Anaerosporomusa subterranea
Lineage: Bacteria; Bacillati; Bacillota; Negativicutes; Acetonemataceae
Description: Gut-1 RNA
Rfam family: Gut-1 RNA
Source: Rfam by way of RNAcentral
CAAUGAAAUCCGCCUGCCGGCAGGUGAAAUCGCUGAGCGGUGAAAUACGGCAAAGCCGUAUGAAAUGCACU